This 406-nucleotide ribosomal RNA is filed under the name uncultured bacterium. Its description in RNAcentral is "partial 16S ribosomal RNA". It matches the Rfam family "Bacterial small subunit ribosomal RNA", at positions 30 to 526 of the family's 1533-position model. The record is from RNAcentral.
AUUGAACGCUGUCUGCAGGCCUAACACAUGCAAGUCGAACGAGUGGCGUACGGGUGAGUCAUGUCUGGGAAACUGCCUGAUGGAGGGGGAUAACUACUGGAAACGGUAGCUAAUACCGCAUACCAUCAGAUGUGCCCAGAUGGGAUUAUCUCGUUGGUGGGUUAACGGCUCACCAAGGCGACGAUCCCUAGCUGGUCUGACAGGAUGAACAGCCACACGGGAACUGGGACACGGUCCAGACUCCUAAGUGAGGCAGCAGUGGGGAAUAUUGCAAAAUGGGCGCAAGCCUGAUGCAGCCAGGCGGCGUGGAUGAAGAAGGCCUGCGGGUGGUAAAGUACUUGCAGCGGGGAGGCGUUACCAGCAGAAGAAGCACAGGCUAACUCCGGGCCAGCAGCCGCGGUAAUUC